This is a long non-coding RNA of Helianthus annuus (common sunflower), 1001 nucleotides long. RefSeq lists it as uncharacterized. The record is from RefSeq and is a predicted model, not a curated record. The transcript is spliced from 6 exons. NCBI's taxonomy places the organism in Eukaryota, Viridiplantae, Streptophyta, Magnoliopsida, Asterales, Asteraceae.
CAGAAUUUCACCCAUAACAGCGUUCACACCCAUCUCCCUCUGCUUUCAAGGUUUCUCCGAUUAUAGUUUGAAGGUACUCAACAUUGUUAACUACACCAGCUCUUUGGCAUGAAGGAAGACUUAAGGUAUAUUCCUUUCAUCAUCUUGACUCGACCCAUUUACCUAUAAGUCGAUUGAUUUGGGCGGCUAAGCAAUCCAUGGAUAAGCAAUUUUGCAGAACAAAUCAUUAAUCCAAACCAUCCAGUUUUGUUCAGAUGUAAGAUCAAAUACUCAUCCAUUAAUGUCAUUGUUCAACUCAGACAGAGUCAAGUUUUGUAAAGAAAGGUGCCCCGGUAAAGCGGAAUGCCUAGAUAACUUUAAAGGUGACUGGGAGUUUACUUGUGCAUCUAAAAUGGUAAUGAAGCAAAGAGCAUGUAAAAGUGGGAAGAGGAUAAACGGUGGCUACCGACUCUAAAGGUUCCCCAGAUGGUCUAUUAGACGGCACAAGGAGAUGGUUGCUAUUUAAAAAAGGAUUGUUUUACCAACUGGUCAAAGCAGUCCUAGCCAUCAACGCCCAAAUUCUUAUAAAGAUGCAUGUCCUUUCCAAAGGAGAAGCAGGGUUUAAUGAAGAAUUGCCAUUUAAGGGGAAAGAUUUCAUCACUGAAAACGUUUGUUUUGAAAAUUCGGCUCUAGAGAUGUUCUUUUCUUUUUUUAGUUACCUUAAUCUCUACAAAACUUAUUGUUGAGCUACCAAUGUAUAUAACUCUCUUCAUAUACUUGACUUCUUUUUCUCUAGGGUCAGGAUGGAGUAUUUCCAUGCUAGCUGGUGCGGGGACUGUAUGCUAACAAGGUACUACGUGAAUGCCACUGUAUUUUGAGUUGGAAGACUGUGAAUGAAAAAUGAGGAGCUGAGUGAGAAUGGAGAAGAAAUUAUUGAAGAGGGAGUAAAUCAAUAAAUUUACGUCUAUGUUUAAUUUAUUAAAUCAAUAGAUUUAUAUUGAAAAGUUUUUUCAUUACAAAGU